This is an unclassified non-coding RNA of Notechis scutatus (mainland tiger snake), 220 nucleotides long. The record is from Ensembl. NCBI's taxonomy places the organism in Eukaryota, Metazoa, Chordata, Lepidosauria, Squamata, Elapidae.
UCUUCCCUGUCGCUCUUCUAGAUCUGCAUCGGAAUGUCGAGCAAAGUUGUUGGGUGUUUUUUGUUGUUUUUUUCUUCAAGUUUUGAAUUCCUCCAUGAUUUUUUUUUCUCUACUUCUAGAAAGGCGGCUUAGGAUAAUUAUUUCAGCUUUAUUGAGGGCAGAUUAGAAGAAGUCUGGAUGCUGCGUUUCAAUACGCGUUCUACAUGCCUGGACAAUGUCC